This 305-nucleotide ribosomal RNA is filed under the name uncultured bacterium. RNAcentral describes it as "bacterial SSU rRNA". It matches the Rfam family "Bacterial small subunit ribosomal RNA", at positions 333 to 655 of the family's 1533-position model. The record is from RNAcentral.
UUUAUCCUAUGGGAUGCAGCAGUGGGGAAUAUUGCACAAUGGGGGAAACCCUGAUGCAGCAACGCCGCGUGAGUGAAGAAGUAUUUCGGUAUGUAAAGCUCUAUCAGCAGGGAAGAAGAUGACGGUACCUGAAUAAGAAGCCCCGGCUAACUACGUGCCAGCAGCCGCGGUAAUACGUAGGGGGCAAGCGUUAUCCGGAUUUACUGGGUGUAAAGGGAGCGCAGACGGCAGUGCAAGUCUGGAGUGAAAGCCCGGGGCCCAAUCCCGGAACUGAUCUGGAAACUGUGCGGCUAGAGUACUGGAGG